GGAGUGUGUGUGAUCCCGCAGGGAUCAGCUGAGCCUGGGCUGGACCUGGACCUUCACCUUUCCAGGGCUCGAUAACAAAGCUCAACCACCUUGGAGAGAUUGCAAGUUACACCAAUUCCUGCC
Empidonax traillii (willow flycatcher) is the source of this 123-nucleotide long non-coding RNA. RefSeq lists it as uncharacterized. The transcript is spliced from 3 exons. The record is from RefSeq and is a predicted model, not a curated record. NCBI's taxonomy places the organism in Eukaryota, Metazoa, Chordata, Aves, Passeriformes, Tyrannidae.